CCUACGUGUGGCAGCAGUGGGGAAUAUUGCACACUGGGGGAAACCCUGAUGCAGCGACGCCGCGUGAGUGAAGAAGUAUGUCGGUAUGUAAAGCUCUAUCAGCAGGGAAGACAAUGACGGUACCUGAUUAAGAAUCCCCGGCUAACUACGUGCCAGCAGCCGCGGUCAUACGUAGGGGGCAAGCGUUAUCCGGAUUUACUGGGUGUAAUGGGAGCGUAGGCGGAAUGCCAAGUCAGCGGUAAAAUCGCGGGGCGCAACCUCGCUCCGCCGUUGAAACUGGCGUUCGUGAGUGGGCGAGAAGUAUGCGGAAUGCGUGGUGUAGCGGGGAAAUGCAUAGAUAUCACGCAGAACUCCGAUUGCGAAGGCAGCAUACCGGCGCCCAACUGACGCUGAAGCACGAAAGCGUGGGUAUCGAACAGGAUUAGAUACCCCAGUAGUC
RNAcentral lists this ribosomal RNA (439 nucleotides) under uncultured bacterium. Its description in RNAcentral is "partial 16S ribosomal RNA". It matches the Rfam family "Bacterial small subunit ribosomal RNA", at positions 338 to 795 of the family's 1533-position model. The record is from RNAcentral.